Xylaria curta is the source of this 93-nucleotide non-coding RNA. Lineage: Eukaryota; Fungi; Ascomycota; Sordariomycetes; Xylariales; Xylariaceae. The record is from the annotation of a GenBank genome assembly.
CCCUCGGUGGUCUAGGGGUGUAUGAUUCAUCGAUGCGCGCUUCCAAGCCGCAACCGAUAAGGUCGGGGGUUCGAAUCCCUCCCAUAUGGGGGU